CCUUCUCUUUCUACCCUGAACACAUCUGGCUUGUCUGUAUUUAGAAGUUGGGCAGGGUCAGGCCUGGUUGGUUCCUGGAUGGGAGACGACCAGGGGGGACUAGGGGGUGCCAAGGA
This 116-nucleotide ribosomal RNA is filed under the name Pogona vitticeps (central bearded dragon). Lineage: Eukaryota; Metazoa; Chordata; Lepidosauria; Squamata; Agamidae. The record is from RNAcentral.